CCCUUAGAUGUUCUGGGCCGCACGCGCGCUACACUGACGAUGGCAACGAGUUUUUCCUUCGCCGAAAGGUGUGGGUAAUCUUUUGAAACAUCGUCGUGCUGGGGAUAGAUCAUUGCAAUUUUUGAUCUUGAACGAGGAAUUCCUAGUAAGCGCGAGUCAUCAGCUCGCGUUGAUUACGUCCCUGCCCUUUGUACACACCGCCCGUCGCUACUACCGAUUGAAUGGUUUAGUGAGGACUCCUGAUUGGCGCCGCCGCCCCGGCAACGGAGCAGCAGACUGCCGAAAAGUUGUUCAAACUUGAUCAUUUAGAGGAAGUAAAAGUCGUAACA
This 329-nucleotide ribosomal RNA is filed under the name uncultured eukaryote. Its description in RNAcentral is "partial 18S ribosomal RNA". It matches the Rfam family "Eukaryotic small subunit ribosomal RNA", at positions 1470 to 1796 of the family's 1831-position model. The record is from RNAcentral.